CAGUCGCCGCGGUAAUACAGAGGGUGCGAGCGUUAAUCGGAUUUACUGGGCGUAAAGCGUGCGUAGGCGGCUUCUUAAGUCGGAUGUGAAAUCCCUGAGCUUAACUUAGGAAUUGCAUUCGAUACUGGGAAGCUAGAGUAUGGGAGAGGAUGGUAGAAUUCCAGGUGUAGCGGUGAAAUGCGUAGAGAUCUGGAGGAAUACCGAUGGCGAAGGCAGCCAUCUGGCCUAAUACUGACGCUGAGGUACGAAAGCGUGGGGAGCAAACAGGAUUAGAUACCCCCGUAGUCCCUGUCUCUUAUAC
This 301-nucleotide ribosomal RNA is filed under the name uncultured bacterium. RNAcentral's name for it is "partial 16S ribosomal RNA". It matches the Rfam family "Bacterial small subunit ribosomal RNA", at positions 509 to 807 of the family's 1533-position model. The record is from RNAcentral.